AUUGAACGCUGGCGGCAUGCCUUACACAUGCCAGUCGAACGGCAGCACGGGUGCUUGCACCUGGUGGCGAGUGGCGAACGGGUGAGUAAUACAUCGGAACAUGUCCUGUAGUGGGGGAUAGCCCGGCGAAAGCCGGAUUAAUACCGCAUACGAUCUACGGAUGAAAGCGGGGGACCUUCGGGCCUCGCGCUAUAGGGUUGGCCGAUGGCUGAUUAGCUAGUUGGUGGGGUAAAGGCCUACCAAGGCGACGAUCAGUAGCUGGUCUGAGAGGACGACCAGCCACACUGGGACUUAGACACGGCCCAGACUCCUACGGGAGGCAGCAGUGGGGAAUGUUGGACAAUGGGCGAAAGCCUGAUCCAGCAAUGCCGCGUGUGUGAAGAAGGCCUUCGGGUUGUAAAGCACUUUUGUCCGGAAAGAAAUCCUUGGCCCUAAUACGGUCGGGGGAUGACGGUACCGGAAGAAUAAGCACCGGCUAACUACGUG
This 486-nucleotide ribosomal RNA is filed under the name uncultured bacterium. Its description in RNAcentral is "partial 16S ribosomal RNA". It matches the Rfam family "Bacterial small subunit ribosomal RNA", at positions 30 to 507 of the family's 1533-position model. The record is from RNAcentral.